CAAUGACAGCACUUCCUGAUUCUUGAUGGUCAGCGGGUCCGGGUUGCGGAUAAGGUACUUGCAGCUAAGGAAUCUACAUAGCAACCAAGAGGUGGAGGUGUGUGUCCGCUUACGUGCAGACCCGUCUCUAAUAUGAAGACGCGUCAUCACAGUGAUCGGCUACGUUACUUCCGCCUCGCAUAGAGAAGCAUUGGAUGCAACAAUGGAGUCCUAGACGCACGCUGUAAAUGCUUGAGAAAGGGAAGGAGGAUUUCCCGAAACGUUGCGUGGGUGCUCGAAUAUGUGGCGAUAUCGCUGGACUUAAAAAUGCUGGACUUUGUACAGAUAAGUUGAAAUAAUGCUGAAAAUGGAAGUGCACAUUUGAAUGUUUUAAUAGCAACAAUAAAUGCUACGUUUUAUCAA
This is a long non-coding RNA of Xenopus laevis (African clawed frog), 402 nucleotides long. RefSeq lists it as uncharacterized. The transcript has 2 exons. Lineage: Eukaryota; Metazoa; Chordata; Amphibia; Anura; Pipidae. The record is from RefSeq and is a predicted model, not a curated record.